This 578-nucleotide ribosomal RNA is filed under the name uncultured bacterium. RNAcentral's name for it is "partial 16S ribosomal RNA". It matches the Rfam family "Bacterial small subunit ribosomal RNA", at positions 355 to 923 of the family's 1533-position model. The record is from RNAcentral.
UGGGGAAUUUUGGACAAUGGGCGAAAGCCUGAUCCAGCAAUGCCGCGUGUGUGAAGAAGGCCUUCGGGUUGUAAAGCACUUUUGUCCGGAAAGAAAUCCUUGGCUCUAAUACAGUCGGGGGAUGACGGUACCGGAAGAAUAAGCACCGGCUAACUACGUGCCAGCAGCCGCGGUAAUACGUAGGGUGCAAGCGUUAAUCGGAAUUACUGGGCGUAAAGCGUGCGCAGGCGGUUUGCUAAGACCGAUGUGAAAUCCCCGGGCUCAACCUGGGAACUGCAUUGGUGACUGGCAGGCUAGAGUAUGGCAGAGGGGGGUAGAAUUCCACGUGUAGCAGUGAAAUGCGUAGAGAUGUGGAGGAAUACCGAUGGCGAAGGCAGCCCCCUGGGCCAAUACUGACGCUCAUGCACGAAAGCGUGGGGGAGCAAAACAGGAUUAGAUACCCUGGUAGUCCACGCCCUAAAACGAUGUCAACUAGUUGUUGGGGAUUCAUUUCCUUAGUAACGUAGCUAACGCGCGAAGUUGACCGCCUGGGGAGUACGGUCGCAAGAUUAAAACUUAAAGGAAUUGACGGGGUCAUA